This 137-nucleotide ribosomal RNA is filed under the name uncultured bacterium. RNAcentral describes it as "partial 16S ribosomal RNA". It matches the Rfam family "Bacterial small subunit ribosomal RNA", at positions 355 to 509 of the family's 1533-position model. The record is from RNAcentral.
UGGGGAAUAUUGCACAAUGGGGGAAACCCUGAUGCAGCAACGCCGCGUGAGUGAAGAAGUAUUUCGGUAUGUAAAGCUCUAUCAGCAGGGAAGAAAAUGACGGUACCUGACUAAGAAGCUCCGGCUAAAUACGUGCC